GCGAAGGUGGCGGAAUGGCAGACGCACUACUUUGAGGGGGUAGCGAGUAACAUCAUGUGGGUUCAAGUCCCAUCCUUCGCACCA
This 84-nucleotide transfer RNA is filed under the name Clostridium drakei. RNAcentral's name for it is "tRNA-Leu". It matches the Rfam family "tRNA". From Rfam's summary of the family: Transfer RNA (tRNA) molecules are approximately 80 nucleotides in length. Their secondary structure includes four short double-helical elements and three loops (D, anti-codon, and T loops). Further hydrogen bonds mediate the characteristic L-shaped molecular structure. tRNAs have two regions of fundamental functional importance: the anti-codon, which is responsible for specific mRNA codon recognition, and the 3' end, to which the tRNAs corresponding amino acid is attached (by aminoacyl-tRNA synthetases). tRNAs cope with the degeneracy of the genetic code in two manners: having more than one tRNA (with a specific anti-codon) for a particular amino acid; and 'wobble' base-pairing, i.e. permitting non-standard base-pairing at the 3rd anti-codon position. The record is from RNAcentral. Lineage: Bacteria; Bacillati; Bacillota; Clostridia; Eubacteriales; Clostridiaceae.